RNAcentral lists this ribosomal RNA (495 nucleotides) under uncultured bacterium. Its description in RNAcentral is "partial 16S ribosomal RNA". It matches the Rfam family "Bacterial small subunit ribosomal RNA", at positions 28 to 507 of the family's 1533-position model. The record is from RNAcentral.
GACGAACGCUGGCGGCGUGCCUAAUACAUGCAAGUAGAACGCUGAAGGAGGAGCUUGCUUCUCUGGAUGAGUUGCGAACGGGUGAGUAACGCGUAGGUAACCUGCCUGGUAGCGGGGGAUAACUAUUGGAAACGAUAGCUAAUACCGCAUAAGAGUAGAUGUUGCAUGACAUUUGCUUAAAAGGUGCACUUGCAUCACUACCAGAUGGACCUGAGUUGUAUUAGCUAGUUGGUGGGGUAACGGCUCACCAAGGCGACGAUACAUAGCCGACCUGAGAGGGUGAUCGGCCACACUGGGACUGAGACACGGCCCAGACUCCUACGGGAGGCAGCAGUAGGGAAUCUUCGGCAAUGGACGGAAGUCUGACCGAGCAACGCCGCGUGAGUGAAGAAGGUUUUCGGAUCGUAAAGCUCUGUUGUAAGAGAAGAACGAGUGUGAGAGUGGAAAGUUCACACUGUGACGGUAGCUUACCAGAAAGGGACGGCUAACUACGUG